Molecule: long non-coding RNA, 123 nt
Organism: Herpailurus yagouaroundi (jaguarundi)
Lineage: Eukaryota; Metazoa; Chordata; Mammalia; Carnivora; Felidae
Exons: 3
Source: RefSeq, a predicted model, not a curated record
AAACUACAAUUUUUUUUACAUCUACAUCAGAACUCUUGGGUGGCCAGGUGCAUUAUCAAUGAGCAGUAAUAUUUUGAAAGAAUUUUUUUCCCAAACUGUAGGUCUUAAGAUUGGGCUUAAAAU